UACGGGGGGAGCAAGCGUUGUUCGGAUUUACUGGGCGUAAAGGGCGCGUAGGCGGUCAGCACAAGUCAGUUGUGAAAUCUCCGGGCUUAACUCGGAAAGGUCAACUGAUACUGUGCGACUAGAGUGCAGAAGGGGCAACUGGAAUUCUCGGUGUAGCGGUGAAAUGCGUAGAUAUCAGGAAGAACACCCGUGGCUAAGGCGGUUCUCUAGUACGGUACUGACGCUGAGACGCGAAAGCGUGGGGAGUGAACAGG
Molecule: ribosomal RNA, 254 nt
Filed under: uncultured bacterium
Lineage: Bacteria
Description: partial 16S ribosomal RNA
Rfam family: Bacterial small subunit ribosomal RNA
Source: RNAcentral